This 777-nucleotide ribosomal RNA is filed under the name Bacillus subtilis. RNAcentral describes it as "bacterial SSU rRNA". It matches the Rfam family "Bacterial small subunit ribosomal RNA", at positions 56 to 817 of the family's 1533-position model. The record is from RNAcentral. Lineage: Bacteria; Bacillati; Bacillota; Bacilli; Caryophanales; Bacillaceae.
UGCAGUCGAGCGGACAGAUGGGAGCUUGCUCCCUGAUGUUAGCGGCGGACGGGUGAGUAACACGUGGGUAACCUGCCUGUAAGACUGGGAUAACUCCGGGAAACCGGGGCUAAUACCGGAUGGUUGUUUGAACCGCAUGGUUCAAACAUAAAAGGUGGCUUCGGCUACCACUUACAGAUGGACCCGCGGCGCAUUAGCUAGUUGGUGAGGUAACGGCUCACCAAGGCAACGAUGCGUAGCCGACCUGAGAGGGUGAUCGGCCACACUGGGACUGAGACACGGCCCAGACUCCUACGGGAGGCAGCAGUAGGGAAUCUUCCGCAAUGGACGAAAGUCUGACGGAGCAACGCCGCGUGAGUGAUGAAGGUUUUCGGAUCGUAAAGCUCUGUUGUUAGGGAAGAACAAGUACCGUUCGAAUAGGGCGGUACCUUGACGGUACCUAACCAGAAAGCCACGGCUAACUACGUGCCAGCAGCCGCGGUAAUACGUAGGUGGCAAGCGUUGUCCGGAAUUAUUGGGCGUAAAGGGCUCGCAGGCGGUUUCUUAAGUCUGAUGUGAAAGCCCCCGGCUCAACCGGGGAGGGUCAUUGGAAACUGGGGAACUUGAGUGCAGAAGAGGAGAGUGGAAUUCCACGUGUAGCGGUGAAAUGCGUAGAGAUGUGGAGGAACACCAGUGGCGAAGGCGACUCUCUGGUCUGUAACUGACGCUGAGGAGCGAAAGCGUGGGAGCGAACAGGAUUAGAUACCCUGGUAGUCCACGCCGUAAACGAUGAGUGCU